GCCGUUGGUUGAGGGAUCUGACUGUAGGGCUUUGGGGGGUAUCAAUUCUGUGCUACUCUGGUUUGCCUUGCAAAUAGGCAACACGUAUUUCCAAGGAAAAGGGGCUGCAGGCACAGAGGUACACAUACUGGCAGUUGGAAAUCAACUGAAAAUUCUAAAAGGCCCACGGAUAUGGGAGGGUGCUAACAGCAUCGGCUUCACCAGGAUUAGGUACAUCUGGAGGUUGGGAAUAUACUUCAAACAUUGCUUGUUUUCAUCUGUGACUUAACAACAUGAUUAAGUGGGUACUUGUGCAGACUUGUACAAGGGUACAUUGCGUGAUGCUGAGGUUUGGAGUACAACUGAACCCGUCAUCUAGGUGAUAAUAAAGAAAACUAGAGAACAGGAAAUGAAGAAUUGUUUAUUUUUCUUCUUGAGCACUUAUUUCAUGUCAUUUUAAUAAUUUUGAAGCAAAAAAUAAACAGAAAUAAUAUCCAAAGACAUUUUCAGUUUAAUUGAUUGCCAUUCUAAUACAUAAAGGUAAGAAUUUUAGUGACCAGUGUUUUGUAUCUGACUCUUAUUUUAGAAUUUCCAGUGUUCUAAGGAUUCCUUAUUAAUUAUUUACCUCAGGUCUUGAGAGAGAAGUUUUGAUACAGAAAAGCAGAUUUUGACAAAUAUACACAAAGAGUGGUAAAGGGUUUAGACAGUAAUUUGGACCCUUGAAAAUUUUAUCAAGCUGUGUGAUAAAAAAGUCAGUACUUAUCAAUCCUCAAGAAUGGAAAGGGAUACUACUUAUGUUAAGCAAAAUUAUCUCAUUUUGAGAAAAACAAGACAAUCUCCUCAUAAAGGUUUCUUUGCUUUUUGUUUUAAGGUACCUCCCAAAGAAGCAACCUUGUUCAUGUCAAAAGCUCCCUAAAAUGGCCAGUGCACUUCCACAUUGUCCUCGGUGAAAGUGUGCCAGUUAGAUAAUAGGCAUACUAGUUAGUAUUCUUAUGAUUAAAAAAAAAAAAAUGAAGAAAGUUUAGCCUGAAAGAGGCACAAUUUUAGAAUGAGGAGACCCUAAGAGAACUGCAGUGGUCCUUAAGGGUAGUGUUUGGGUAACUAUCUGUUGAGUUUGACCAAAGGCCAUGGUCACCAUUGGAUGCCAGGCAAAACCUCCUGAAAGAAGGCAGGGGACGCUAAACAAAGCAAUCCUCAGACACACAAAGUCAACACCGAGGAAUAAGCCCUUAUAGGGUUUUGAAAUGAUGAUCUGAGGCAAAGGAAUGCCAACCUGAAGAACCCUUCUAAACUACACAGCUACUAUGAUAAGCUCCAGGAUUGACUUAUCAGGCUUGGCUGGCUGACUUUAAGGAGGCCUCCAUGAGCCCUGCCUCCUUGUGGUCACACUUCUGUGUAAUUCCUCCCUUUCUUGAGUGUAGGUAGGAGGUGCAACUUGUUUUUAAUGAAUGGAAUGCAAAAAA
Molecule: non-coding RNA, 1442 nt
Organism: Macaca mulatta (Rhesus monkey)
Lineage: Eukaryota; Metazoa; Chordata; Mammalia; Primates; Cercopithecidae
Source: RefSeq, a predicted model, not a curated record